Molecule: non-coding RNA, 28 nt
Filed under: Rattus norvegicus (Norway rat)
Lineage: Eukaryota; Metazoa; Chordata; Mammalia; Rodentia; Muridae
Source: RNAcentral
UAGAUAGGUGUAAGGCAGGAAGUUUGUC